AUUUAAUGAUUUUUUGAUCAUAACAGCUCUUCAAUGUAUAUGUUAAAAUAUAAUUAUUAUGAUUAUUAACAAUAAUAGUUUCACCCUCAAGAGAGCAGUGCAGCAGAAACCUUUUGCCUUAUGUGAUUUUGUGUGAAUUUACAAUUUUGUCCGCUUGCCUAACAGUUUACAUUGCAUUAUUACAUUUGUAUUCAUACACUGUCAUGUCAUUUGACCAAUUAAUUAAAUAAUAAUACAGACUGCAAAUUAAACUUAAUACACAGCUGUGUUAACUCGCGCAAACUAUUGCUAUUGUUAUUGGUUGUUUCGCCGUUUUACUUUGAGCAUGAUUGGUUAAUCUGUCUGUUUUACAGGAAACUGUCCAAUGAGAAUGUGCGCGGCUCUGCGCGCCUAUUUUAAAUUUGAAAAUAUGUCCGUUACUCUCGGUCGGAGCAGCUGCUUUGCGUUGAUUACUCGGUUAGACCUGGAUUAUUUUAUAUCUGCCUGUUGAAUUCUUACAUUUUGAGCGAAUAUUAGUUGAUAUGACAAUGAAGAUCAAAAGCUGGAAUGUGAACAGAGGAGGGGGUCGUACGUGGUCUGUAAAUACUGGCGAUAUCAGAUCAAGCUUUGUAAUACGAUUUUUAUCGGGGGAGAACACCCAACAGAAAGACCCAUGAUUCACCAACUGGCGCACUGAAAGGGGAGAUUCAUGUCACCUUCAUCAGUCCUUUCUUUAAUCACUGGACACCAUUAAGGGAAAGACCCUCAGACGUGUCAUAAUAGGAUAAAUGCGGCUGCAGGACAAGGCCUGGUGAGAGCCACUACAGAGGAUCAUAGCCAUUGUUGGAAUUCUGAAAGGACGUGGGUGAAUAUCAAUCUGCCAAAUGAAC
Long non-coding RNA from Cyprinus carpio carpio, 869 nucleotides. The record is from Ensembl. Lineage: Eukaryota; Metazoa; Chordata; Actinopteri; Cypriniformes; Cyprinidae.